AGAGUAGCUACAAAUUCUCUUAUAUGUCUCCUCUGGCUGGCUUUUUGUCUUAUGUGUCUCCGUUGUAAUUGUAGAUCGAUCUAUAACAUGACACAGAGUAAACAUCGAGGCAAAGUCAGGUCUAUGAAAUCAAAAUAGGAUGAUACCUCCGGAAAGGAUCUAUCUUUGAAAUCGGAUGCUUGGUGAAAGCAAGACAAAACCCUAACUAUUGUGACCCGCAAAGCAGAGGAUUUAGCCAAAACAAGCAUCAUCGGAAUAAAGACGAAAGUCAUUGGACACCACAUGCAAAUGUGCUUCAAAAAGAAAAUGUUUGGUUAGAUCUCUCGAUGCGGUUUGAAAAGAUAAUUCAGAUCAUCCAAGUCACUU
Molecule: long non-coding RNA, 366 nt
Organism: Brassica napus (rape)
Lineage: Eukaryota; Viridiplantae; Streptophyta; Magnoliopsida; Brassicales; Brassicaceae
Exons: 3
Source: RefSeq, a predicted model, not a curated record